AAUGAACGUUGGCGGCAUGGAUUAGGCAUGCAAGUCGAGCGAGAAGUGUAGCAAUACACGGAAAGCGGCGGAAGGGAGAGUAAUACGUGGGAAACUGCCCUUAGACCUGGGAUAGCAGCGGGAAACUGCUGGUAAUACCAGAUAAUGUCUAUGGACCAAAGGUGUGAUUCCGUCUAGGGAUGAGCCACGUCCUAUUAGCUAGUUGGUAGGGUAAUGGCCUACCAAGGCGAUGAUGGGUAGCGGGUGUGAGAGCAUGACCCGCCUCACUGGGACUGAGACACUGCCCAGACACCUACGGGUGGCUGCAGUCGAGAAUCUUCGGCAAUGGGCGCAAGCCUGACCGAGCGAUGCCGCGUGCGGGAUGAAGGCCUCGGGUUGUAACCGCUGUCGAGGGGGAGGCAACUUCCAUAGAGUUAUCUUUAUGGAUUGAGUGAUCCCUGGAGGAAGGACGGGCGUAAGUUCGUGCCAGCAGCCGCGGUAA
Molecule: ribosomal RNA, 481 nt
Filed under: uncultured bacterium
Lineage: Bacteria
Description: bacterial SSU rRNA
Rfam family: Bacterial small subunit ribosomal RNA
Source: RNAcentral